CUUGGGUACUCGAGUGGCGAACGGGUGAGUAACACGUGGGUGAUCUGCCCUGCACUUCGGGAUAAGCCUGGGAAACUGGGUCUAAUACCGGAUAGGACCACAUUUUGGAUGGUGUGGUGGAAAGUUUUUCGGUGUGGGAUGAGCUCGCGGCCUACCAGCUUGUUGGUGGGGUAAUGGCCUACCAAGGCGUCGACGGGUAGCCGGCCUGAGAGGGUGUACGGCCACAUUGGGACUGAGAUACGGCCCAG
Molecule: ribosomal RNA, 248 nt
Filed under: uncultured Actinomycetales bacterium
Lineage: Bacteria; Bacillati; Actinomycetota; Actinomycetes; Actinomycetales
Description: partial 16S ribosomal RNA
Rfam family: Bacterial small subunit ribosomal RNA
Source: RNAcentral